RNAcentral lists this ribosomal RNA (608 nucleotides) under uncultured bacterium. RNAcentral describes it as "bacterial SSU rRNA". The stretch from base 1 to 518 matches the Rfam family "Bacterial small subunit ribosomal RNA", at positions 338 to 873 of the family's 1533-position model. The record is from RNAcentral.
CCUACGGGAGGCAGCAGUGGGGAAUCUUGCGCAAUGGGCGAAAGCCUGACGCAGCCAUGCCGCGUGAAUGAUGAAGGUCUUAGGAUUGUAAAAUUCUUUCACCGGGGACGAUAAUGACGGUACCCGGAGAAGAAGCCCCGGCUAACUUCGUGCCAGCAGCCGCGGUAAUACGAAGGGGGCUAGCGUUGCUCGGAAUUACUGGGCGUAAAGGGAGCGUAGGCGGAUAGUUUAGUCAGAGGUGAAAGCCCAGGGCUCAACCUUGGAAUUGCCUUUGAUACUGGCUAUCUUGAGUAUGGGAGAGGUAUGCGGAACUCCGAGUGUAGAGGUGAAAUUCGUAGAUAUUCGGAAGAACACCAGUGGCGAAGGCGGCAUACUGGCCCAUUACUGACGCUGAGGCUCGAAAGCGUGGGGAGCAAACAGGAUUAGAUACCCUGGUAGUCCACGCUGUAAACGAUGAGUGCUAGUUGUCGGCAUGCAUGCAUGUCGGUGACGCAGCUACGACAUAAGUACACUCCGCCGUCGGGUAGGUACGGUCGGCGAAGAAGUUAAACGUAACGAACGAAGUAGUAGACGCGAGAGAGCGACGACGACGACGACGGAGGAGGAGG